GAUAUGUUAUUUAAAAACUUGAGAAACAAGCAAAUCCUGAAGCAUAUCAUGAGAGUCCACAACCCAAACAACAUCAUGAGAAGAUCCCAGGCCUAAAGAAUAUAUAUAGUACAGGUUGAAUGCUUUAAAGGAAAGGACCACUAGACAAAAGCCUAGAGACGUGGAACUGGAUAAGGAUUAAGGAUUGGGAAUAAUCUUUGUCUUAUGCUGAUGUUUUACUUUGUA
This 225-nucleotide long non-coding RNA is filed under the name Prunus persica (peach). Its description in RNAcentral is "long non-coding RNA (PPER_LNC002504)". The record is from RNAcentral. Lineage: Eukaryota; Viridiplantae; Streptophyta; Magnoliopsida; Rosales; Rosaceae.